AAAAUCACAUUUGGAGAUUGGUUUGGGCCCAAUUUCGCACUGUAGCACAUGCACAUGCAACAUUUAAGUGAAUUUCACUAAUUGGCAAAACACUUCAUUAAGCUAAUUUUCACUUACCAUUCCAUUAACCAAACUUAAGCUUCAUUAAACAGAGUAUAUAUUGCUCAUUUUCUGAUAGAAAACCCUAGCCACUAUUCACCAAACCAGAUCUAAAAAUUCAUUUUUCUCUCAAACUCUCAUUUCCUUACUUGAACUUUUUUUCUUCUGAAAAUC
RNAcentral lists this long non-coding RNA (273 nucleotides) under Lathyrus oleraceus (garden pea). RNAcentral's name for it is "Pisum sativum (pea) long non-coding RNA (PSAT_LNC000484)". Lineage: Eukaryota; Viridiplantae; Streptophyta; Magnoliopsida; Fabales; Fabaceae. The record is from RNAcentral.